Molecule: ribosomal RNA, 547 nt
Filed under: Onthophagus sp. 6 CWC-2007
Lineage: Eukaryota; Metazoa; Arthropoda; Insecta; Coleoptera; Scarabaeidae
Description: partial 16S ribosomal RNA
Rfam family: Bacterial large subunit ribosomal RNA
Source: RNAcentral
AGUCUGACCUGCCCUAUGAUAAAAUUAAAUGGCCGCGAUAAUUUGAUCGUGCAAAGGUAGCAUAAUAAUUAGUUUCUUAAUUAGGAACUGGAAUGAAAGGUUGAACGAAAAAAUAACUGUCUCAAUUUAAAAUUUAAUUAGAAUUUUAUUUUUAAGUAAAAAAGCUUAAAUAAGUUUAAAAGACGAGAAGACCCUAUAGAGUUUUAUAUUAAUUAAUUUAUUUUUUAGUUUUAGAAUUUAAGUUUAAAAUUUAUUAAUUAUAUAUUUAAUUGGGGUGAUUAAAAAAUUUAAUGAACUUUUUUUUAUUUAUUUAACAUUGAUUUAUGAUUAAUUGAUCCAUAUAUAGUGAUUAUAAGAUUAAAUUACCUUAGGGAUAACAGCGUAAUUUUUUUUAAGAGUUCUUAUCGAAAAAAUAGAUUGCGACCUCGAUGUUGGAUUAAAAUUAAUUUAUGGUGUAGAAGCUAUAAAAAUUAGGUCUGUUCGACCUUUAAAAUUUUACAUGAUCUGAGUUUAAACCGGUGUGAGCCAGGUUGGUUUCUAUCUUUAA